AAACUUUCAACAACGGAUCUCUUGGUUCUGGCAUCGAUGAAGAACGCAGCGAAAUGCGAUACGUAAUGUGAAUUGCAGAAUUCAGUGAAUCAUCGAAUCUUUGAACGCACAUUGCGCCUCAUGGUACUCCGUGAGGCAUACCUGUUCGAGCGUCGUU
Molecule: ribosomal RNA, 157 nt
Filed under: Neocladophialophora quercina
Lineage: Eukaryota; Fungi; Ascomycota
Description: 5.8S ribosomal RNA
Rfam family: 5.8S ribosomal RNA
About the family: 5.8S ribosomal RNA (5.8S rRNA) is a component of the large subunit of the eukaryotic ribosome. It is transcribed by RNA polymerase I as part of the 45S precursor that also contains 18S and 28S rRNA. Functionally, it is thought that 5.8S rRNA may be involved in ribosome translocation.
Source: RNAcentral